GAUGAACGCUGGCGGCGUGCCUAAUACAUGCAAGUCGAGCGAACAGACGAGGAGCUUGCUCCUCUGACGUUAGCGGCGGACGGGUGAGUAACACGUGGAUAACCUACCUAUAAGACUGGGAUAACUUCGGGAAACCGGAGCUAAUACCGGAUAAUAUAUUGAACCGCAUGGUUCAAUAGUGAAAGACGGUUUUGCUGUCACUUAUAGAUGGAUCCGCGCCGCAUUAGCUAGUUGGUAAGGUAACGGCUUACCAAGGCGACGAUGCGUAGCCGACCUGAGAGGGUGAUCGGCCACACUGGAACUGAGACACGGUCCAGACUCCUACGGGAGGCAGCAGUAGGGAAUCUUCCGCAAUGGGCGAAAGCUUGACGGAGCAACGCCGCGUGAGUGAUGAAGGUCUUCGGAUCGUAAAACUCUGUUAUUAGGGAAGAACAAAUGUGUAAGUAACAAUGCACGUCUUGACGGUACCUAAUCAGAAAGCCACGGCUAACUACGUG
This 497-nucleotide ribosomal RNA is filed under the name uncultured bacterium. RNAcentral describes it as "partial 16S ribosomal RNA". It matches the Rfam family "Bacterial small subunit ribosomal RNA", at positions 28 to 507 of the family's 1533-position model. The record is from RNAcentral.